UUGGGAAUAUUGGACAAUGGGCGAGAGCCUGAUCCAGCAAUCCCGCGUGAGUGAUGAAGGCCUUCGGGUCGUAAAGCUCUUUUAGUAGGGACGAAGGGGAAACCUUGACGGUACCUACAGAAAAAGCACCGGCUAACUCUGUGCCAGCAGCCGCGGUAAUACAGAGGGUGCAAGCGUUGUUCGGAAUCAUUGGGCGUAAAGCGCGAGUAGGCGGUCUCUUAAGUCUGAUGUGAAAGCCCGGGGCUCAACC
Molecule: ribosomal RNA, 250 nt
Filed under: uncultured bacterium
Lineage: Bacteria
Description: partial 16S ribosomal RNA
Rfam family: Bacterial small subunit ribosomal RNA
Source: RNAcentral